Long non-coding RNA from Vicia villosa (hairy vetch), 1661 nucleotides. RefSeq lists it as uncharacterized. The transcript has 4 exons. The record is from RefSeq and is a predicted model, not a curated record. Lineage: Eukaryota; Viridiplantae; Streptophyta; Magnoliopsida; Fabales; Fabaceae.
GUUUCAUUCAGUCAAAGUUGUAUCUAUGUUUGUUGAAAAAAAGUGUGUUUUGUUUGUUGAAAAAAGCAAUGGCAUAAUUUAAAAAGAAUGAAUAUGAUUUUACAUGGUAUUAUGUGAUUUAUGAAGAUUUUUGAAUGAUUGUUUAAAUUUUGUUAAAUAUUUUUUAUGUAUUAUCUUGUGCUAUUGUACUAUUUAAUGUAGAUGCCCCUUUUUGAAAGAUUUUUUUUGAUUAUAUUUGUCUUUUCUCUAGUUAGCAUUGCCUUUGUUUUGGUGUUUGGAGAGUAAUUUUUCUCCCAUUUAUAAUUGAGUUGGUGCUGUAUUUAUGUGUUGAUUAUGCUUGUUCUUAGUUGUAUAGUUAAAGUGAUUCAUCAUGGGUGGUUUUUCUCUUGUUAGAACUUAGGUGUUUUUUGUUGUUCAUUGUCCUGAUGGUGCAUGCUUUGGUUCAACAAGAUUGUGGGGCGGCUGCCCCUUGAUAUUGGUUUUGGUUUAUGUGCUUUGGAAUUUUGGGUUUGUAGGUGGGUGAUAUUUAGUAAUAUAAUUUCUUUUUCUUAAAAAAAAAAACAAAAAACAAAUCACAUGUUAAUAGAAUGAAGUAAGAGUCAUAAUAGUUAAGAGUGUGGAGAGAAUCCUUACUUUAGUUGUUAGUGCUAUUAUAGAGAAUCUGAAGUCAAAACAAUUCUCACUUAUAUGUUUAGUUUCAUGUCUUACAUUGUUCAGUAUUGAAUCUAUUGAUAAUGGCAUUUCUUCUAACAUACCAUAGUUUUUUUAUGUAUGAAAAGAUAUUUGCUAAGGUGGCUCUUCUAAAUUGAUUUUUUAAAGAAAAAAGUUAUUGAUUAUACUAAAUAAAAUUACACAUAUGGACAGUCCUUCGUUCUGGCCAUCUUUAAUACUUUUUCUAAUGCCACUUUUCUACUUUAUGUUUGUAAGUUUAUGAUUGCCUGCAUGCUAGUAACUUAGGAAACUUACUAAAUUACUACCACACGCUUUUGGUAUGAUAUGCAUCAGAACCUAUACAUCUUCAAAUAAUUGUUUUCUUCUUUAAAUUUUUAUCUCUUUGUCUACAAACUUAAUAAUUGAUUUUACUUGAAGGUGGUGAACAUUCCCAUUCUUAUAGGGACCAUGCAGACCAGGACCUUGAUGCUAGUUCUGGACAUGGACAUGGACAUUCACAUUGCUGAUCUUUCUACAGGAAUAUCAAUCUUUGCGAGGAUUGUACCCUUUCUUCUUGGUUGAUUACAAGACCCUCCAAAUUGAUUAAUAGCACCUCUCUAAAUUCCCACCUAAUUAAUAAAGAAGAAAGUAUGGCUUGAUGGAUUUUGUGCCAACCACCAUAAUCCCUACCAUGUCUUCUAAAGGUAAAAUGAAUUUUAAGAGGACGACAUAGGUGAUGACCUUCAAGAGGACGACAUAGGUGAUAAAGAGCAUGAUGGAAAUGACGACGAGUUCGACAAAUUUAAAUAAGUUGGAUGAUGUUGUUUUAGGCUUCUACUUAAACAUUAAACUUAAAGAAACUAUGUAUUUUUGUCAUUUUGCUAGACUUAGACUUCUAUGUGUUAAACUUGUAGUAUUAAGUAAUGUUAUACAUUUUGUGUAAUUGAGUUAAUGCUUGAAGAUUUUACAAACACAAUUUUUGUAGUACAAGCAAUUUAUGUUUGGUGUAA